RNAcentral lists this transfer RNA (92 nucleotides) under Actinoplanes palleronii. RNAcentral's name for it is "tRNA-Thr". The record is from RNAcentral. Lineage: Bacteria; Bacillati; Actinomycetota; Actinomycetes; Micromonosporales; Micromonosporaceae.
GUCUGGUCUGGGUGGCGCUGCUGAUCGCGGCGCUGGUGCUGCAGCAGUUCACGUUCACCGACGUGCCGCUGCUCGACCCGGCGAACUGGGCG